This 462-nucleotide ribosomal RNA is filed under the name uncultured bacterium. Its description in RNAcentral is "bacterial SSU rRNA". It matches the Rfam family "Bacterial small subunit ribosomal RNA", at positions 917 to 1382 of the family's 1533-position model. The record is from RNAcentral.
GGGCCCGCACAAGCGGUGGAGCAUGUGGUUCAAUUCGACGCAACGCGCAGAACCUUACCUGGUCUUGACAUCCUCGGAAGCUGCCAGAGAUGGCGGGGUGCCCGCAAGGGAGCCGAGAGACAGGUGCUGCAUGGCUGUCGUCAGCUCGUGUCGUGAGAUGUUGGGUUAAGUCCCGCAACGAGCGCAACCCUCUCCUUUAGUUGCCACGCAAGUGGAUCUCUAGAGGGACUGCCGGUGUUAAACCGGAGGAAGGUGGGGAUGACGUCAAGUCCUCAUGGCCUUUAUGACCAGGGCUACACACGUGCUACAAUGGCCGGUACAAAGCGCUGCCAACCCGCGAGGGGGAGCCAAUCGCAUAAAACCGGUCUCAGUUCAGAUUGGAGUCUGCAACUCGACUUCAUGAAGGCGGAAUCGCUAGUAAUCGUAGAUCAGCACGCUACGGUGAAUACGUUCCCGGGCCUU